RNAcentral lists this ribosomal RNA (497 nucleotides) under uncultured bacterium. Its description in RNAcentral is "partial 16S ribosomal RNA". It matches the Rfam family "Bacterial small subunit ribosomal RNA", at positions 28 to 507 of the family's 1533-position model. The record is from RNAcentral.
GACGAACGCUGGCGGCGUGCCUAAUACAUGCAAGUAGAACGCUGAAGAGAGGAGCUUGCUCUUCUUGGAUGAGUUGCGAACGGGUGAGUAACGCGUAGGUAACCUGCCUUGUAGCGGGGGAUAACUAUUGGAAACGAUAGCUAAUACCGCAUAACAAUGGAUGACACAUUUCAUUUAUUUUAAAUUGGCAAUUGCUCCACUACAAGAUGUACCUGCGUUGUAUUAGCUAGUAGGUGAGGUAAUGGCUAACCUAGGCGACGAUACGUAGCAGACCAGAGAGGGUGAUCGGCCAAGCUGGGACUGAGACACGGCCCAGACUCCUACGAGAGGCAGAAGUAGGGGAUCUUCAGGAAUAGGAGCAACCCUGACCGAGCAACGCCGCGUGAGUGAAGAAGGUAUUCGGGUCGUGAAGCUCUGUUGUAAGUCAAGAACGGGUGUGAGAGUGGACAGUUCACACUGUGACGGUAGCUGACCAGAAAGGGACGGCUAACUACGUG